GAUCCGUAACUUCGGGAA
Molecule: small nuclear RNA, 18 nt
Filed under: Arabidopsis thaliana (thale cress)
Lineage: Eukaryota; Viridiplantae; Streptophyta; Magnoliopsida; Brassicales; Brassicaceae
Description: snRNA_02093
Source: RNAcentral